This 279-nucleotide ribosomal RNA is filed under the name uncultured bacterium. RNAcentral's name for it is "partial 16S ribosomal RNA". It matches the Rfam family "Bacterial small subunit ribosomal RNA", at positions 506 to 784 of the family's 1533-position model. The record is from RNAcentral.
UGCCAGCAGCCGCGGUAAUACGGAGGGUGCUAGCGUUGUUCGGAAUUACUGGGCGUAAAGCGUAUGUAGGCGGCUUUAUAAGUCGGAUGUGAAAGUCCCGGGCUUAACCCGGGAAGUGCAUCCGAUACUAUUUGGCUUGAGUACAGGAGAGGGUAGUGGAAUUUCUGGUGUAGUGGUGAAAUACGUAGAUAUCAGAAGGAACAUCGGUGGCGAAGGCGGCUGCCUGGCCUAGUACUGACGCUGAGAUACGAAAGCGUGGGGAGCAAACAGGAUUAGAUA